UAUGUGAUCGUCUCUCGCAUAUCAAUAAGCGGAGGAAAAGAAACUAACAAGGAUUCCCCUAGUAACGGCGAGUGAAGCGGGAAGAGCUCAAAUUUGAAAUCUUAAAGGGUUUCCCUUUACGAAUUGUAGUUUAAAGAAGUGUUUUCUGUUGAGGUUUUGGUAAAAGUUCUUUGGAAUAGGACAUCAUAGAGGGUGAGAAUCCCGUAUUUGACCUUUACUUUCAACUUUGUGAUACACUUUCAAAGAGUCGGAUUGUUUGGGAAUGCAGUCCAAAAUGGGUGGUAAAUUUCAUCUAAAGCUAAAUAUUGGCGAGAGACCGAUAGCGAACAAGUACCGUGAGGGAAAGAUGAAAAGAACUUUGAAAAGAGAGUUAAACAGUACGUGAAAUUGUCAAAAGGGAAGCGUUUGACACCAGUGUUGUUUUUCUGAAAAUCAAUUAAAGAACUGUUUAUGCUAAGUUGUUUAGACUUUAUCAGCUAACUGUUUAGUUUUGGAGCUUUUCUUUAAUGCACUUUUCAGUUAACAAGUCAACAUCAAUUUCUUUUGCUGUAAAAAAGCUUGAGGAAGGUGGCUUGAGAUUCGUCUUAAGUGUUUAUAGCCUCUUGCCUAUGCAGUCGGAGAGAUUGAGGUCUGCAGCGUAGAUCCUUCGGGGCUAAAUGCAUUUGUGCUAAGUUAUAGCAUUUUAUAGACAACUUGUUGACUAUGAUUUGUCUUGUAGCUUACUCGCUUAUGUUAUUUUACCUACGCUUAGGAUGUUGAUCUACAGAGCGAGAGU
This 775-nucleotide ribosomal RNA is filed under the name uncultured Neocallimastigales. RNAcentral describes it as "partial large subunit ribosomal RNA". It matches the Rfam family "Eukaryotic large subunit ribosomal RNA", at positions 24 to 635 of the family's 3401-position model. Lineage: Eukaryota; Fungi; Neocallimastigomycota; Neocallimastigomycetes; Neocallimastigales. The record is from RNAcentral.